GCCAGGCCUGGUGGUGCACACCUGUAGUCCCAGCUACUUGGGAGGCUGAGGUGGGAGGAUCUCUUGAGCUCAGGAGUCUGAGGAUGCAGUGAGCUAUGAUUGUGCCACUGUACUCUGGCCUGGGUGACAGAGUGAGACCCCAUCUCUA
Molecule: non-coding RNA, 148 nt
Filed under: Nomascus leucogenys (northern white-cheeked gibbon)
Lineage: Eukaryota; Metazoa; Chordata; Mammalia; Primates; Hylobatidae
Source: Rfam by way of RNAcentral